GCGUGUAGCUAACCGGUACUAAUGAACCGUGAAGGCUUAACCUUACAACGCCGAAG
RNAcentral lists this ribosomal RNA (56 nucleotides) under Escherichia sp. E3659. RNAcentral describes it as "partial 23S ribosomal RNA". Lineage: Bacteria; Pseudomonadati; Pseudomonadota; Gammaproteobacteria; Enterobacterales; Enterobacteriaceae. The record is from RNAcentral.